AUUGAACGCUGGCGGCAGGCCUAACACAUGCAAGUCGAACGAGUGGCGGACGGGUGAGUAAUGUCUGGGAAACUGCCUGAUGGAGGGGGAUAACUAUUGGAAACGGUAGAUAAUACCGCAUACCAUCGGAUGUGCCCAGAUGGGAGUAGCUAGUAGGUGGGGUAAAGGCUCAACUAGGCGACGCUCCCUAGCUGGUCUGAGAGGAAGACCAGCCACACUGGAACUGGGACACGGUCCAGACUCCUACGUGAGGCAGCAGUGGGGAAUAUUGCACAAUGGGCGCAAGCCGGAUGCAGCCAUGCCGAGUGUAUGAAGAAGGCCUUCGGGUUGUAAAGUACUUUCAGCGGGGAGGCGUUACCCGCAGAAGAAGCACCGGCUAACUCCGUGCCAGCCGCCGCGGUAAUAC
Molecule: ribosomal RNA, 406 nt
Filed under: uncultured bacterium
Lineage: Bacteria
Description: partial 16S ribosomal RNA
Rfam family: Bacterial small subunit ribosomal RNA
Source: RNAcentral